Hyla sarda is the source of this 195-nucleotide small nuclear RNA. RefSeq annotates it as U2 spliceosomal RNA. The record is from RefSeq and is a predicted model, not a curated record. Lineage: Eukaryota; Metazoa; Chordata; Amphibia; Anura; Hylidae. The transcript has a single exon.
ACUUCUCAGCCUUUUGGCUAAGAUCAAGUGUAGUAUCUGUUCUUAUCAGUGUUCAUUUCAGUGUUGGAUCGGGCAUCACUGAUGUGGGACUUGUGAGGUGGGGUGCUGCAUGGAGGGGACAGGUGUACCAGGGCGUUUCGGGGCUGGUUUUGAGGAAUCUGCUCAACGGCUCCCCCAAUGUGACUUGUUCCCUCC